AACGAACGCUGGCGGCAGGCCUAACACAUGCAAGUCGAGCGGACCCUUCGGGGUUAGCGGCGGACGGGUGAGUAACGCGUGGGAAUAUGCCCUUCUCUACGGAAUAGUCCUGGGAAACUGGGGGUAAUACCGUAUACGCCCUUUGGGGGAAAGAUUUAUCGGGGAAGGAUUAGCCCGCGUUGGAUUAGGUAGUUGGUGGGGUAAUGGCCUACCAAGCCGACGAUCCAUAGCUGGUUUGAGAGGAUGAUCAGCCACACUGGGACUGAGACACGGCCCAGACUCCUACGGGAGGCAGCAGUGGGGAAUCUUAGACAAUGGGGGCAACACUGAUCUAGCCAUGCCGCGUGAGUGAUGAAGGCCUUAGGGUUGUAAAGCUCUUUCAGCUGGGAAGAUAAUGACGGUACCAGCAGAAGAAGCCCCGGCUAACUCCGUG
This 433-nucleotide ribosomal RNA is filed under the name uncultured bacterium. Its description in RNAcentral is "partial 16S ribosomal RNA". It matches the Rfam family "Bacterial small subunit ribosomal RNA", at positions 29 to 507 of the family's 1533-position model. The record is from RNAcentral.